RNAcentral lists this long non-coding RNA (1533 nucleotides) under Strigops habroptila (Kakapo). Its description in RNAcentral is "lncRNA (ENSSHBG00005006881.1)". Lineage: Eukaryota; Metazoa; Chordata; Aves; Psittaciformes; Psittacidae. The record is from RNAcentral.
UUUUUUUACAUUUAUUUUAUUUGAAGCUUAGAAAAAUUUAGGUUGGAGUUUUGGUUGAAGGCUGGGUUGCUGCCUUUUCCCCUUUUAUCUGAACGAGCUCACUCAGACCUAAUCUUCAUCAUCUAAACCACAUGAUUAACACACAAAAUAACUUUGGAGCAAGCCAGGUCCAAGCAGGAAGCUGCAAGUACUAUCAUGUUUUCAUGAUAUUAGCCAGCAAAAAAACUGUGGUUUCUUCAGGUUUUUGGGGUUUUUUUCUUCUUUUUUCAUUCUCUACAUCUAUGUUUUCCUUGAAAGGGCUUGUGUUUUUGUGUUGGAAACUUUCAGGUUUACAAUCUCACUCCCAGAGGGAAUGCUUAUUCUCCCAGACAAUUCCCACAAGGCUGGGGCAGGCCUGGACCCUUUUGCAAAAUGGCUAAGGAUGACUCCCACUCUGCUCAGGUUUGUCAGUCAAACCAAACCAUCCAGCCAAAGAGCACCUCUCCCACCUCGUCCAGUUUAAAAGAAAGCAGGUAUGACUGUAUCGUGUGAGGGGACUGGUCCUGCUGGUGUGUAUUAGGUUUGUUCAGAAUAUUCCAUCUGAAUUGGCUGCCCUGAGAAAAUAGACACUUCUUUCAGGAUCUCAGUGGGUUUUAGGUGGGAACUCUGUACUAAGCUGCUCAGGUCACAGCAGUUCUGGGCAUGUCUAGACAUAAAGUUGCUGGUAGUGGAAGAAAUGUUAUCCUGAGUAGGGAGGAACCUACUGAGUUGUAGGUGCUUAAGUCCUCUUUUGCAUCUGGCCCUAACUUGCAAGAGAGGAAGAGCCAAGUGCUCAAAGGCAGCUCCCAUUUUAUGGCUCUAAAUCAUGCAAAAAAAAAUCUGGACUCAAUAAUUUUGUACCUGCAUUUGUAUUGGAGGUGAGCGAGAGCCUUGACCAGGCAGGGAGAGACUCUGAUUCUCUGCCUUUUCUCUGCUCUGUGGAUUCAGAAAGGAAGAGAGGUGUCGUGCCAGCAGAAAUUAUAGUCCCCAUGUGUGUCAUACACGCCUAUGCAAAGCUCUGUGGUUGGUAUACUGGGUGCUUGUUGGGCAAUGGUGUGGAGAAGGCCGGCUUCCUUGGAACAUUUUCUGUUCAUUGUACUGUUCCUUCCCAGCAUUUCACAAGCCACCACAAAGAAGAUGACAAAAAUGGGGAAAAAAAAACCUUCUUAAAAUGAAUUGUGUGUCUCUUCUCUUAGUACCCCAACAACCUUGGCAAGCUCAAUGGAGCCACGCAGAACUAGUCUUUGCUGGAUGUUACUCUUUGCACAAUUUUAUGAUAAUUUUGGGGAGUUUACAUGAUGGAAUGGUGAAAGCACAAGGAGGGAAGUCAGGACUCUUCGCCUUCAUUCCUGGUUCUGCCACCAAGAUGCUGUGCGUAUUGGCACUGCCUAUAUAAACUCUUUUGGUUGUCUCAUUGGCAUGAACCUUGUUAUAUGUAUUUGCUGCUUCUGCCAUUUCUAGGGCUAUCUGAGGCUCCAAUCAAAACAAUAGCAAAAUGUCCAAAUUAAUCUGUAA